AGCCUUCAUAGUACACGUGCCGGGGUCGUCCGAGUCUAACCACAAUGCUCAAAAAGUAGCCCUCCAACCUAGCCCUACCCUCUUUGUAAGCAGCAAUAAAGAAACAAGUGACUGCUUUCACAUUAUCAUUCUACAACGUGUGCAGUCUCCCGAAACUGGCCAAAUGCUGUGAGGUCUUCCUUUGAGGCCGUCGUUGCUGCUCGCUGUGACGACCCUCGUGUUGCUGCUGUUUGCGAUGGCCGUGGAAGCCCGCAGUGGUAAGAUGCAGUGGGCGCGCUUCACGUACUGCAUCACCAGGCGCGCGGGCCCAGUGCUGGCGACGCCCAGCGGAAGCUGCGCCUCCCGCAAGAUGCUGGGGCAGUUCCGCACCAUGAAUCGCGUCAACUGACAGAACUGCGACAAGUACUUCCACUGCAUGGCCAACUGGCUGGCGACGCGGAAGUGCCGGGGACGCUUCAACUUGCGCGUGGCCAAAGUAAUCAGCUACUGCCGGGAGUACUCACAACCUGGAGACCCAGCUGACAGGCACGGAGACGAGGAGGCUAACCGAUAUGGCCGGGGGGGUGGAAACUGCGGAGCACGCUACUUGCGCCCACGCAAAUGUGCCUACAACCCAAGAACGGGAAAAUGCAAGUGGUGAGGGCAGAAUACACGAGCAGCGCCUACUGAUACUACCGAUUGCAGUGUCCCCAAAGAGGCAUGUCUAUGCCAAAAAACCGUCUGUAUCUAUAGUGCAGAAUAAAACACGAAGAAACGACAAAGAGAGAGAGAA
Molecule: long non-coding RNA, 772 nt
Organism: Dermacentor albipictus
Lineage: Eukaryota; Metazoa; Arthropoda; Arachnida; Ixodida; Ixodidae
Source: RefSeq, a predicted model, not a curated record